GCGGCACGCCUAAUACAUGCAAGUCGAACGAAGUAGCAAUACUUAGUGGCAGACGGGUGAGUAACAUGUAGGUAUCUUCCCUAUGGUGAGGAAUAACACGAGGAAACUUGUGCUAAUACCUCAUAAGUCUUUACGGAGAAAGCUUUAUGCGCCAUUGGAUGAGCCUGCACUUGAUUAGUUUGUUGGUGGGGUAAUGGCCUACCAAGACAAUGAUCAAUAGCUGAUUUGAGAGGAUGAUCAGCCACAUUGGGACUGAGACACGGCCCAAACUCCUACGGGAGGCAGCAGUAGGGAAUCUUGCACAAUGGGGGAAACCCUGAUGCAGCGAUGCCGCGUGAGUGAAGAAGGCCUUUGGGUUGUAAAGCUCUUUCGUCGGGGAAGAAAAUGACUGUACCCGAAUAAGAAGGUCCGGCUAACUUCGUGCCAGCAGCCGCGGUAAUACGAAGGGACCUAGCGUAGUUCGGAAUUACUGGGCUUAAAGAGUUCGUAGGUGGUUAAAAAAGUUGGUGGUGAAAUCCCAGAGCUUAACUCUGGAACUGCCAUCAAAACUUUUUAGCUAGAGUAUGAUAGAGGAAAGCAGAAUUUCUAGUGUAGAGGUGAAAUUCGUAGAUAUUAGAAAGAAUACCAAUUGCGAAGGCAGCUUUCUGGAUCAUUACUGACACUGAGGAACGAAAGCAUGGGUAGCGAAGAGGAUUAGAUACCCUCGUAGUCCAUGCCGUAAACGAUGUGUGUUAGACGUUGGAAAUUUAUUUUCAGUGUCGCAGCGAAAGCAAUAAACACACCGCCUGGGGAGUACGACCGC
This 802-nucleotide ribosomal RNA is filed under the name uncultured Pelagibacteraceae bacterium. RNAcentral's name for it is "bacterial SSU rRNA". It matches the Rfam family "Bacterial small subunit ribosomal RNA", at positions 39 to 889 of the family's 1533-position model. Lineage: Bacteria; Pseudomonadati; Pseudomonadota; Alphaproteobacteria; Candidatus Pelagibacterales; Candidatus Pelagibacteraceae. The record is from RNAcentral.